CAACGAGGGACUGAACCUGGGCCACGGCAGUGAGAGCACGGAGUCCUAACCACUGGACCGCCAGUGUACAAACACAUUUAGGUCUCUCCCAGCCUUGGAGACUUCUCUCGAUGACGCUAUUCCUUCGAAGUGGUCCUGGCUCGCUCCUUACCGGCACUGCUGCACUGUGAGGAGGCUUGCAGGAUCUUAGUUCCCUGACCAGGGAAUGAACCUGGGCCUCCGGCAGUGGAAGCAUGGAGUCCUAACCACCGGACCGGACCGCCAGGGAAUUCCCUGGGCUGUCUUCUUGGGAAUUCCCUGGGCUAUCUUCUUUAGCUUACCUAAUGCAGGUAAAUACU
Long non-coding RNA from Orcinus orca (killer whale), 338 nucleotides. RefSeq lists it as uncharacterized. The transcript is spliced from 3 exons. The record is from RefSeq and is a predicted model, not a curated record. NCBI's taxonomy places the organism in Eukaryota, Metazoa, Chordata, Mammalia, Artiodactyla, Delphinidae.